Molecule: long non-coding RNA, 294 nt
Filed under: Salvator merianae (Argentine black and white tegu)
Lineage: Eukaryota; Metazoa; Chordata; Lepidosauria; Squamata; Teiidae
Description: lncRNA (ENSSMRG00000023191.1)
Source: RNAcentral
GGAGAAUGAGGAGAGCCUGACUGGACGCAUGAAAGGAGGUGGAAGAAUAGGUCCAUCUCAGCGAGGAGCCUUUGGAGGCUAUCCAACAAUGAUGAACAUGCCAGCUUACCAACCUAUGCCAGCUAUGGGAGGAAUGCUGUCACCAACCGUGCCAAUGAUGCCAGGCCUAGGUGGAAUGGGAGCAAUGCCAGCUAUGGUUAUGCCACAGGCUCAGACCAUCAUGCCAACGCUGGAUCCUAAUCAAGCAGCAGCGCAGCAGCAGGCCUUCAUCAACCAGCAGGCUCUGCUGAUGGU